This 492-nucleotide ribosomal RNA is filed under the name uncultured bacterium. Its description in RNAcentral is "partial 16S ribosomal RNA". It matches the Rfam family "Bacterial small subunit ribosomal RNA", at positions 29 to 507 of the family's 1533-position model. The record is from RNAcentral.
AGUGAACGCUGGCGGUAGGCCUAACACAUGCAAGUCGAACGGCAGCACAGUAAGAGCUUGCUCUUACGGGUGGCGAGUGGCGGACGGGUGAGGAAUACAUCGGAAUCUACUUUUUCGUGGGGGAUAACGUAGGGAAACUUACGCUGAUACCGCAUACGACCUACGGGUGAAAGCAGGGGAUCUUCGGACCUUGCGCGAUUGAAUGAGCCGAUGUCGGAUUAGCUAGUUGGCGGGGUAAAGGCCCACCAAGGCGACGAUCCGUAGCUGGUCUGAGAGGAUGAUCAGCCACACUGGAACUGAGACACGGUCCAGACUCCUACGGGAGGCAGCAGUGGGGAAUAUUGGACAAUGGGCGCAAGCCUGAUCCAGCCAUACCGCGUGGGUGAAGAAGGCCUUCGGGUUGUAAAGCCCUUUUGUUGGGAAAGAAAAGCAGCAGGUUAAUACCCCGCUGUUCCGACGGUACCCAAAGAAUAAGCACCGGCUAACUUCGUG